GUCGUCUCUUCCCAUCCUGGGGGUGCAGCAGCCCCCAAGGGUGGGGCUGCCCGCCCAUUAAAGGGGAACGUGAGAUGGGUUUAGACCGUCGUGAGACAGGUCGGUCUCUACCUGCCGGGGGUGUCGGCCGCCUGAGGGGAAGGUGCCCCCAGUACGAGAGGAACGGGGCGCCGCGGCCUCUAGUGUACCGGUUGUCCGGCAGGGCAGUGCCGGGCAGCCACGCCGUAGGGGAUAAGGGCUGAAAGCAUCUAAGCCCGAAGCCCUCCCCGAAAAGAGGCGGCCAUUCCCCAGCGCUUGGGGGCGGG
Molecule: ribosomal RNA, 305 nt
Filed under: Thermoprotei archaeon
Lineage: Archaea; Thermoproteati; Thermoproteota; Thermoprotei
Description: bacterial LSU rRNA
Rfam family: Archaeal large subunit ribosomal RNA
Source: RNAcentral